GCUAUACAUGCAAGUCGAGCGAACCAAUAAGAAGCUUGCUUUUUGUUGGUUAGCGGCGGACGGGUGAGUAACACGUGGGUAACCUGCCUGUAAGACCGGGAUAACUCCGGGAAACCGGUGCUAAUACCGGAUAGAUUAUCUUUCCGCCUGGAGAGAUAAGGAAAGAUGGCUUUUGCCAUCACUUACAGAUGGGCCCGCGGCGCAUUAGCUAGUUGGUGAGGUAACGGCUCACCAAGGCGACGAUGCGUAGCCGACCUGAGAGGGUGAUCGGCCACACUGGGACUGAGACACGGCCCAGACUCCUACGGGAGGCAGCAGUGGGGAAUAUUGCACAAUGGGCGCAAGCCUGAUGCAGCGACGCCGCGUGGGGGAUGACGGCCUUCGGGUUGUAAACUCCUUUCAACCAUGACGAAGCUUUCGGGUGACGGUAGUGGUAGAAGAAGCACCGGCUAACUAC
This 457-nucleotide ribosomal RNA is filed under the name uncultured bacterium. RNAcentral describes it as "bacterial SSU rRNA". It matches the Rfam family "Bacterial small subunit ribosomal RNA", at positions 48 to 504 of the family's 1533-position model. The record is from RNAcentral.